RNAcentral lists this ribosomal RNA (497 nucleotides) under uncultured bacterium. Its description in RNAcentral is "partial 16S ribosomal RNA". It matches the Rfam family "Bacterial small subunit ribosomal RNA", at positions 28 to 507 of the family's 1533-position model. The record is from RNAcentral.
GAUGAACGCUGGCGGCGUGCCUAAUACAUGCAAGUCGAGCGAACAGACGAGGAGCUAGCUCCUCUGACGUUAGCGGCGGACGGCUGAGUAACACGUGGAUAACCUACCUAUAAGACUGGGAUAACUUCGGGAAACCGGAGCUAAUACCGGAUAAUAUAUUGAACCGCAUGGUUCAAUAGUGAAAGACGGUUUUGCUGUCACUUAUAGAUGGAUCCGCGCCGCAUUAGCUAGUUGGUAAGGUAACGGCUUACCAAGGCAACGAUGCGUAGCCGACCUGAGAGGGUGAUCGGCCACACUGGAACUGAGACACGGUCCAGACUCCUACGGGAGGCAGCAGUAGGGAAUCUUCCGCAAUGGGCGAAAGCCUGACGGAGCAACGCCGCGUGAGUGAUGAAGGUCUUCGGAUCGUAAAACUCUGUUAUUAGGGAAGAACAAAUGUGUAAGUAACUAUGCACGUCUUGACGGUACCUAAUCAGAAAGCCACGGCUAACUACGUG